ACAAAAUCCUACAUCUAUUUUAUAUAAAAAUAUGUCUACCAGAUGAAAGAGUUUAGUGGGCAACACCUUCUUUUGCCUCAGAGGACUCCUGGAUAACACACCCCCACUGCCCAGGACUGCAGUGGGCUAAUAGAGCUUGCAUCCAGGCUCGGGCCCUGGGAAUCCAGGACUGUUUCUACGUUUUCUCCUCGGCCAUGCAGCUCCGUCCGCAGCUUUCUGUUCUACAGUGGAAAUAUGACUGUUCCAAUUUUCUGUCUGACAGCUUUGCUGUCCCGAGAGCUAAGGAAAGUUCAUCCACACAGCUGACAUUUGAGCUUCCAGAGGGUGUCACUUUUACUGCUGAGUGACUGAAGUGCCACACAGAACAAACGUUUCUAAGCUAAAAAGCCUGUAGUGGUGAGUCCUGGGUGUGGUGGUGCACGCCUUCAUUCCCAGAACGCAGAAGGGAGGCAGAGGCAGGCGGAUCUGAGCUCAGGCCAGUCUGGUCUGCGGGACCAAUGUUCCAGGACAGCCAGUACUACACAGAGAAACCCUGCCUCAGAAAAGAAACGAAAGGAAACAAAAAGGCCUGUAUUGUGCUCCUCAGGCACUGCUGACAGCCACCAGGCUCUGCUGAGUCAGCAGUUUGAGUGCCGCAUUCAUAUUGGAUACUUGUUAUCAGAUCCCAGGACACAGAUUCUUACAGUCUUGAGGUUGCAAAGGAGAUUGCCACCACACACACACACACACAGAGCGAUCCCUGUGGCUUUCCUUACCUUGUUGUCUAUCUCAAUCCCUACCCAGGAUUUUUUUUUUCCUUUUAAAAGAUUUUAUUUAGGCCAGCCUAGUCUACAAGAGCUAGUUCCAGGACAGGCUCUAAAACUACAGCAAAACCCUCUCUCAAAAAACAAACAAACAAAAGAUUUUAUUUUUUAUUUUUCGUUAUGUGUACCAGUGUUUCUGGGUGUGUGCAGUCUGUGAUGUCUGCAGAUUCCCCGAGCUGGAACCGCUGGUGAUUGUGAGCCUCCUGAUGUUGAGUGCUGGGAUUUAAACUGUGCUUUGCAAGAGCAGUGAGAACCCUUAGCCAUUGAGCUAUCUCUCAAGCCCCUCUUUGCAGAUUUUUAUUUCGUUUUUCCUAGACAGAGUUUCUCUAUGUAGUCCCAGCUGUCUUGAAACUUGCUUAUAGACCAGGCUGGCCUUGAACUCACAGAGAUUCCUCGACUUUUACCUCCUGAGUGCUGGGAUGAAAGGUGUGAGCUGCUACCACCAUGCGGCUCCUUGCAGAUUUUUAGGAAAAAUCUGCAGCUAUGUAGACCAGCUUUAAUGGCUUCUGUCCGAGGCUCGAUUUGAAACCUGAAGUUUUGUACACUUCUCAGUUACUGGAAUUACUGGGAGAUGAUGCCAACUGGCUCCCUGCUUUCUUUACUCUAUAUUUCCAAAACGUGUGUGCGUGCGUGCGUGCGUGCGUGUGUGUGCUGCAUCCCAUCGUGGAACAUGUGGAGAUCAGAAGACAAGUGGCAGAAGAGCUCUGUCCACCAGUGGGUAAGUCAGGAAUGGAACUGAAAGCCAGUGGUGGUGGCACACACCUUUAAUCCCAGCACUCGGGAAGCAAAGGCAGGUGGAUCUCUGAGUUCGAGGCCAGACUGGUCUACAAGAGCUAGUUCCAGGACAGGCUCCAAAAACUAACCCUGUCUCGAAAAACAAAACAAAGCCGGGCGGUGGUGGCGCAUGCCUUUAAUCCCAGCACUUGGGAGGCAGAGGCAGGCGGAUCUCUGUGAGUUCGAGACCAGCCUGGUCUACAGAGCUAGUUCCAGGACAGGCUCCAAAACCACAGAGAAACCCAGUCUAGAAAAACCAAAAAAAAAAAAAAAGAAAAAAAAAGAAAAAAGAAAAACAAAACAAAGAAUGGAACUGAAGUCACUCUACUUAGCAGCAAGUACCCUUAUGGCUCCUUACUCUCACUGUCCCCCACCCCUACCCCAAGACAGGUAAAGGGAUCGCGCAGUCAGUUUACAAAGGGAACCUUCCAGACUCCAUGCUAAGUUUGUUCCCAGAGCUGGUAUUUGAGAGUUGGUUGGAAUAAACCAUUUGGCCGUCUUGGAAUUGCCUUCCUCCAUCGUUGACCUAAGUGACUGACAAAACCUCCAACUUAAAAGUGCUUCAGUGAAAGAAGGGAAAAGGUCAGUGCGGUCUGUCACAGCUUAUUGCCCGCCAUUCUGAGCUCCAAACAUUUUCCAGAACAUCGCCAGUAUCUUGCUCCUCUCUGGUGUUUUUUCAGUCCUUGUCACAGAUCACUCCUUGCCCCCUGAAUCAGGCCCCGGGCCUCCCAGAUGCUUCUUAUUCUCUGGGCUUGUGCAUAUCAACACUUAGAUGUAGCUUAGUCUCCCCACAAACGGUUGCUGAGCACCUACUGCAUGGCACACAGAACCCCAAAGCCUGCAGUGUGCAGUAAAACUAAAAAUAAUUGCCCAAGGACUAUCAACAGUGAAUUAGGUACAAAUGCUGGAGAUAUAUCUAUUUAAUGUGCACAUGUGUUUGCUCGUGUGACUAAUACGCUCCAUGUACGUGGAGCGGCGGGCGUACAAACAGCUUCAGGGAGGCGGGGACACCCACGCUGCGCUGUUCGGUCCUUAAGUGACCAGGUGAAGAAGGGGUGGUCACGGUGUCAGUCACACGUGGCUUCAAGAUUUUGGGUCCCCAGGGCCAGAAUUCCUCGGCUUCCACCAGUCUCGUUCAUUCGCUCCCAGCGAUGCCGCCGACUUAGACACCAGUCACUCCACCUACAGGCGAAGCUCGUCCUCCGACCACGCGAACUAGACAAGUAUGUCCACCCUUCGGCCACCAGCCCCGCACCCCGCUCUUCAGGUGCCUCCGACCGUGGGCCCACCCCGCCAACCUCCGUUUCCGGUGGAGUGAUUCAGGACCCUGCGUGCCCGCCGCGCGGAGCCAGCGGGGAAGAAGCUCAGUGCGCGGCCGCCACGCCCCUCGAGAGGGGCGGGGCAUGCAAAUCAGACGCGGCGCGCGCGCGGGAAUGCCGGGAGCGCCGCGGUCGUGGAAUUCGUAGCUGAAGCUGUGGAUUUGAGAGGGCGAGUGAGGUGCCGGGGACGCGGACGCAGACCGGAAGCGGAAGGAAGCGCGGGGAAAACCGGGAGUCAGGGUCGCGGGCGGUCACCACGACGUUCGUGUGUCCCGCGGGCGCAGGGCAAGGGUGCGUGUUGGGUGCGCGGUAUCGCUUCUCGGCCUUUUGGCUAAGAUCAAGUGUAGUAUCUGUUCUUAUCAGUUUAAUAUCUGAUACGUCCUCUAUCCGAGGACAGUAUAUUAAAUGUAAUUUUGGAAGUAGGAGUUGGAAUAGGAGCUUGCUCCGUCCAUUCCACGCAUCGACCUGGUAUUGCAGUACCUCCGGGAACGGUGCACCCCUCGGGGAAUAAAGCCGGUUCAAUGAAAGGCAGUAAAAGUUUUUGUGUAUUGUGCUGUUGACUCUUGUUUUCUGUCUUUUUGUAGUGCUGGGUGCCAAGUACAGUAAGUCACUUAUUUUUAUUUUUCCCUUGUCCCAUCCUUUAAAAGUUUACGUGUUCCAUGUACGUGCAGGACCCAAGGGAAGGCAGAAAAAGAAUAUAGAGUUUUCUUGGACCUUAAAGAGGCUGAAGAAACCUAUCUCCUGGUCUUUUGAUUUGGACUGUUUUCCUUUAUUCUCUUUUGUUUUGGUUUUUAAUUGGACACAAAACAAGGUCUUUUGCUGAAAAGAGUUCGCUAUACUGGAUCUGCUUGCCAAGUCCCUCAGUUGUCUUAAAAAUCUCACAAGCGGGCAAGGACUUUUAAGGUGUUCUAACUUAACGGAAAAAAUGAGAAUCCACACAGAGCAGCUCUGAGCAAACGUGGACGGAAAGGAGCAGACAUGACGAAUGGACAGAAUGCCAAGGAUGACUGAAGGUUGUUACAAAUGUUUUCAAUCAAAAGAGACUUAAGGUGUUUUAUAUUAGUAAACUGACAACCUCAAGAAAGGUAAGUUUGGAGGCUGCAGGUGGAAAGAGGUGGCAGAACCCAGUUAGACCAAGGAGUGAGGACUUCCUGCCAUCCAGGGAUGCAACUAGGGUACUGCCAGCUGCAGCACUAGGAGGAUGUGACUGCCGUGGAAGUGUGCAGGCACGAGCUACCUUGCCUCGAGAGCUUCCAUCUCCAUACAAAUCACCUUUGUUACCAUACAACCGUAUAGUCUUUGGACUAUGGUUGCUGGUCAACAAAAAGUGCAGAAGAAAUACUGAAAGAAGAGUUUAAAAUUCAAGUUGAAGCUUCACAGCCAUGCCAGAUCCCAAGAGGUGGCUGGCUUGAUGUUCUGCAUUCUUAAAUGCAGUUUUAUGGUAUAGGAUAGAGUAGUAUGGCAGCUGUGGGAACCCAGCCCUCAGAUCUCCAGCUACUGAGAACGUAACUGCUGACCGUCAGACCUGCUGCUAAAACAUCAGGAUCGCUCACUAUUCCCCGCUGCUUCUUGCUUUGCUGAACCAUAUCAAGGCUGUUUUUCAGGUGUCUAUCACCGUUGAGAACUAGAGCUGACUUUAGGUGACUUUAGCCUCCCAUUAGCUUGGUCUGCCCUUCUUGAGAUUCUGCUCACUGGACCCACCUUCUUGCCUCGCCACCGCAACUGUCAAAACUUCCUAAAGGCCCAGAGGUGGUCAGAAAACCUUUUUUCAGGGAAAUCUGCAAGUUCAGCUGGUAUUUAUAAGACAUAAAACCAACCUGAGGGUAGAAUACACACAGAUUCCUGAAUAGUGGCCAACUGAUAAGCUGGUAAGUUGGCCCGGAAAUGAGAGCAGUCCAAAUUCCCUGCCCUCCACAUUAAUUCUUACCUGCCCACCCAAGACACCACCAUGGAACAUGCUGUAGGACAGUCACGUGACUCAGUUGAGUACAUCCUAGACCUGGAACAAUGGACAUUGAAGAAAUUAUAAGGUCUUGUGACGUACAAAACCUUCUCAAGAUGCUAAGGCACACAGGGACAAGACGGUAGUGCUUUCUUGACUUAGAGCUUGGCCGCCUUCUUCUUAAAAGAUUCCUUCAUUCUCUUGACCACAGAAAGGUCCCCAACUCCCUCAGGCCAGUUGUCAUGAUCUGGCCAUGUCAGCUUCUUUAUUCGUUAACCAACAAAAGCAGCAAAUACACAGAAGGACCUCCCACAUCAAGCCUGGUCUACAGAGCAAGUUCUAGGACAGGCUCCAUGGCUACUGAGAAACCUUGUCUCGAAAAACCAAAAACCAACCAACCAAACAUUGGGAAGACUAUUCAAAUGGCCUCUGCUUUUCCAGCUCUCCAGCUAUAGGAAGCCAGACUUUCUUGCUAUGAUUUUGCUAAAAAAAAAAAAAAAAAAAAAAAUCAGAUUUUGACAGACUGGACGAAAAUGCAAAGGUGAUGAUGGUCCAGCAUAUAUGAAGAUUAUGGUUCAGCACAUAUGAAGAUGAUGGUCCAGCACAUAUGAAGAACCACAUAUUAGAGAGUUUGUAAAUGUGUCAUGCGAAUGUAAAGAGAAUUGCUUUGUUUUGGAAAAGGUAGCUAUUUUAUUUAAAAUAUUAACAUGUA
Molecule: long non-coding RNA, 5550 nt
Organism: Chionomys nivalis (European snow vole)
Lineage: Eukaryota; Metazoa; Chordata; Mammalia; Rodentia; Cricetidae
Exons: 4
Source: RefSeq, a predicted model, not a curated record